GUCAAAGCUAGGGAUACGGUGCCACUGUC
This 29-nucleotide non-coding RNA is filed under the name Rattus norvegicus (Norway rat). The record is from RNAcentral. Lineage: Eukaryota; Metazoa; Chordata; Mammalia; Rodentia; Muridae.